UCGAUCAGAACCUGUCGAGA
Molecule: small nuclear RNA, 20 nt
Filed under: Arabidopsis thaliana (thale cress)
Lineage: Eukaryota; Viridiplantae; Streptophyta; Magnoliopsida; Brassicales; Brassicaceae
Description: snRNA_02538
Source: RNAcentral